UUUUACAACUUCACCUUGUCAUACUCAUACACCUUGAGCGGGGUCAUCUGAAAAUGUUUGGGUCCAGUUGGCAGCACGGUCAAUUGGCAUCAGUUGGACAUUUUGCGCAUUUACUAUACGCAAUUUGUAAUUUGUUUGAAACUUGAAGUUGCAUUUAACGAAACGAAUGAACAGGGUACAAGAGUAGAGCAAAGGCAAUUUUACCAGUAAAAGUAUCCGUUUGUGUCGAUUGAGAAAAAUACAUAAGCUGUUUUUGAAAUAGUUGACGUAUUGCAAAUCGUGGUGCAUUUUUGUUUGUGAUGGAUAAAGCGACGCAGUUUUCGUGAAGUUGUAUGCAUUAAGCAAUCAUAUCAGCAAAUAAUGGAUUCUAAAAUUCGCAUCAGUGGACCCGUGCACUGAGGCAGAUUGCCCGGCACCGGCCACGACCAGCACUACUAUCACUACCACCAUUACCACCAUCACCAUAAUCACCGCCGCCUCUCCGUCAGUACCACCUCCAGCCCAGGUACCUUCGCGGUCCCAAACCAGUCCUUCCGACUACCGACCAAUUGUCCGAUAGUCAUCUCAUUUCCGGACUUGAUGGCGAUGAGAGUUGGGGGAAUCGUUACUGCUAGUUCAGAGUACCGGUUCCUAUGCCGUUACCAUCGACACCGUCUCCCGCCACAAGAAAGCGGAAUUAAAUAGUGCUCUGUACCGACCACUAGGAGAAAAUGUCCGGAAUGUUUUGGGACAACACAUCGCGACCACCGCAAACCUCAUCAGCACCAGUUGCAUCGACGUCUCUAACCAGUCUGCCUACGAUCAGGUUCGGGGCACCGUUGUACCUAUCCCCGUUGCAGGAGCCCGCUCCCUCCACCGCUCCCACCACCGCUCCCACCAUCGCUCCCACCAUCGCUCCCAUCAUCGCUCCCACCAUCGCUCCCACCAUCAAUCCCACCAUCGCUCUCACCACCGCUCCAACCUCCGCUCUCACCACCGCUCUCACCACCGCUCCCACCAUCGCUCCACCGCCGCUCGGGCUACCACCGUAACUCCAACCGCCGCUCCAAACGCCGCUUCCACCGCCGCUCGGACCACCGCUUCCACCACCGCAACUCCCACUGCCGCGUUCACCGCCCUUACCACCGCUUCCAUCGCAACACGGACCGUCGCUCCAUUUGUCCAUGUUGAUUCAGCCACCGUCCCCGAUGUGUACCAGUUGCUAAGCGAGAACGCCAACCAGACAGCCGCGCUCGCCAGCCAGUCAGCCAAACAGACAGCCGACAUAAAUCGCCGCUUGGACGUUUUAACGGCGCAAAACGAAUCUGUGCAGAAAGAGGUCGUUGUUGUCCAGAAAACUACGGCGGUUAUGGAGGCCGUGGUAAACCGAUUGCAGCAAACAAUAUGUGGCGAUGAGGAUGGAAGUUCGCCUUCCAUCCCGGAGGACUUCACUCUGCAGCCUGUACGGUCGGAGGACGAGCUGAACGACAUGGAGCGCAAGUUGAGCGACAAUCAAUAUAUGAAGAAUGGUGUGGCUUGGCUGCACAACAACAUCACGGCCAGAAAUAUGGACAAGCGGCUGAACGAGGUGAAGGACCUGGAACUGGAUGCCACUUUUGUGUUGCAUUGCCGUUGGUCUGCGAGGAACGAAAAAAUAGUGAUGUCCCAUUUCCCUAACGUAUGUGAGCUGUUCCGGCGAGCGGCAUCAUCGGCGAAUUCGUCGAUUAUAUACGUAAGCGAUUUUUUUUCAAACGCGUAUUGCGAUACGUAAAAUAAGCUGGUUAGUUUAAGUAAGUUUAAGUUUAAGAUAGUUUAGUGACACUAUUUCAUUAGGUUAGUACAUUAAUUUCAAAGUUAAGUUAAGUUAGUUAAAGUGAAAGACGUAUACAUUUAAGUAUUGAAAUAAUGUAAAUAUAUUAUGAUUAUGACUACGAAAAUAACAUUUUGAUUCUUUCACAAAACAACCAACCAAAACAUGCUCACUAUUC
Molecule: RNA transcript, 1967 nt
Organism: Anopheles merus
Lineage: Eukaryota; Metazoa; Arthropoda; Insecta; Diptera; Culicidae
Exons: 2
Source: RefSeq, a predicted model, not a curated record